Molecule: ribosomal RNA, 534 nt
Filed under: Pseudoparlatoria sp. D0295A
Lineage: Eukaryota; Metazoa; Arthropoda; Insecta; Hemiptera; Diaspididae
Description: eukaryotic LSU rRNA
Source: RNAcentral
AUCUGGGCGGCGAAAUUCAGGAUGGCUGGGCUGGCCUCGCGCUAGUCUGGCCGUUUGAUGUUUUCGUCGCCAUUCGCAGACGUCGCGACCUGUUCGUCGUCGGUCCCUGCUCGGAGGAGUCGCUGUCGAGUUCGUUGUGAGCGCGCUUCGGCGCGUUUCACGGCGAAGACGCGGAUCUCUGGCUGACGAUGGACAGUAAGCAACGGUGGCCGGCGUCGUGUCUUGNACGCGACGUCGGUACCGGUCAGCGACGAUUUCUUCGGGCCUCUUUCCGACCCGUCUUGAAACACGGACCAAGGAGUCUAACAUGCGCGCGAGUCGCGGGGUAUCGAGCGUACCACGGUGCGCUCGUUACGUCACGAAACCCGUAAUGUUGAAGGCGUAAUGAAAGUGAAUGGGGAAGAUGGCGUUCCGAGUACACGUUCCGUGGUCUAGUACCGCGGCCGGACGCCCGCAUUCCCGGGGCGUCUCAACGGCUCGUCGCGAAUGCGGACGGUCGCCUUUCGGGGUGGCCGUCGGUUUGCGACGGACCGA